This 460-nucleotide ribosomal RNA is filed under the name uncultured bacterium. RNAcentral's name for it is "partial 16S ribosomal RNA". It matches the Rfam family "Bacterial small subunit ribosomal RNA", at positions 338 to 795 of the family's 1533-position model. The record is from RNAcentral.
CCUACGGGGUGCAGCAGUGAGGAAUAUUGGUCAAUGGGCGGGAGCCUGAACCAGCCAAGUCGCGUGAGGGAAGACGGUCCUAUGGAUUGUAAACCUCUUUAGGCGGGGAGCAAUGCCGGGCACGCGUGCCCGGAGGGAGAGUACCCGCAGAAUAAGCAUCGGCUAACUCCGUGCCAGCAGCCGCGGUGAUACGGAGGAUGCGAGCGUUAUCCGGAUUUAUUGGGUUUAAGGGGUGCGUAGGCGGAUUUUUAAGUCAGCGGUAAAAUGUCCGGGCUCAACCCGGGCCGGCCGUUGAAACUGGGGAGCUUGAGUGGGCGAGAAGUAUGCGGAAUGCGUGGUGUAGCGGUGAAAUGCAUAGAUAUCACGCAGAACUCCGAUUGCGAAGGCAGCAUACCGGCGCCCGACUGACGCUGAGGCACGAAAGCGUGGGGAUCGAACAGGAUUAGAUACCCCUGUAGUC